Small nuclear RNA from Protopterus annectens (West African lungfish), 107 nucleotides. NCBI's taxonomy places the organism in Eukaryota, Metazoa, Chordata, Ceratodontiformes, Protopteridae. The record is from RefSeq and is a predicted model, not a curated record.
GUACUUGCUUUGGCAGCACAUAUACUAAAACUGGAAUGAUACAGAGAAGAUUAGUAUAGCCACUGUGCAAGGGUGACACUCAGAUUCAUGAAGUGUUCCAUAUUUGG